AGCAGCCGCGGUAAUUCCAGCUCCAAUAGCGUAUAUUAAAGUUGUUGCAGUUAAAAAGCUCGUAGUUGAAUUUCGGGAUUUGUCAGUUGGUCGGGCUUCACUGUCCGUAUUGACUUGAUGGAUUCUUACCUUCUGAAUAACCAGCAUGCUAUUAAGUUAGUGCGUUGGGGAAGCAGAUCUAUUACCUUGAAAAAAUUAGAGUGCUUAAAGCGAGCUAGUGCUUGAAUAGAUUAGCAUGGAAUAAUAAAAUAGGACGGCAUGGUUCUAUUUUGUUGGUUUCUAGGAUCACCGUAAUGAUUAAUAGGGAUAGUUGGGGGCAUUAGUACUCAAUUGUCAGAGGUGAAAUUCUUGGAUUUAUUGAAGACUAACUUCUGCGUAAGCAUUUGCCAAGGAUGUUUUCAUUAAUCAAGAACGAAAGUUAGGGGAUCGAAGACGAUCAGAUACCGUCGUAGUCUUAACCAUAAACUAUGCCGACUAGGAAUCGGAUGAUGUUAAUUUAUAAUGUA
This 506-nucleotide ribosomal RNA is filed under the name uncultured Acaulospora. RNAcentral describes it as "SSU rRNA". It matches the Rfam family "Eukaryotic small subunit ribosomal RNA", at positions 569 to 1078 of the family's 1831-position model. Lineage: Eukaryota; Fungi; Glomeromycota; Glomeromycetes; Diversisporales; Acaulosporaceae. The record is from RNAcentral.